ACGAAGGGUGCAAGCGUUAAUCGGAAUUACUGGGCGUAAAGCGUGCGUAGGCGGUUUCUUAAGUCCGUUGUGAAAGCCCUGGGCUCAACCUGGGAAUGGCAGUGGAUACUGGGAAGCUAGAGUCAGGUAGAGGGUGGUGGAAUUCCCGGUGUAGCGGUGAAAUGCGUAGAGAUCGGGAGGAACAUCCGUGGCGAAGGCGGCCACCUGGACCAUGACUGACGCUGAGGCACGAAAGCGUGGGGAGCAAACAGGA
Molecule: ribosomal RNA, 253 nt
Filed under: uncultured prokaryote
Description: partial 16S ribosomal RNA
Rfam family: Bacterial small subunit ribosomal RNA
Source: RNAcentral